GACGAACGCUGGCGGCGUGCUUAACACAUGCAAGUCGAGCGGAAAGGCCCCUUCGGGGGUACUCGAGCGGCGAACGGGUGAGUAACACGUGAGCAACCUGCCCCUGACACUGGGAUAAGCCUGGGAAACCGGGUCUAAUACCGGAUAUGACCUGCCUUCGCAUGGGGGUGGGUGGAAAGGUUGGCCCGUUUGGGUCUUCCGGUCAGGGAUGGGCUCGCGGCCUAUCAGCUUGUUGGUGGGGUAACGGCCUACCAAGGCGACGACGGGUAGCCGGCCUGAGAGGGCGACCGGCCACACUGGGACUGAGACACGGCCCAGACUCCUACGGGAGGCAGCAGUGGGGAAUAUUGCGCAAUGGGCGAAAGCCUGACGCAGCGACGCCGCGUGGGGGAUGAAGGCCUUCGGGUUGUAAACCUCUUUCGGCAGGGACGAAG
Molecule: ribosomal RNA, 434 nt
Filed under: uncultured bacterium
Lineage: Bacteria
Description: bacterial SSU rRNA
Rfam family: Bacterial small subunit ribosomal RNA
Source: RNAcentral